UGCGGCGGAUUAGCUAGUUGGUGGGGUAACGGCCUACCAAGGCGAUGAUCCGUAGGGGGCGUGAGAGCGUGGCCCCCCACACUGGCACUGAGACACGGGCCAGACUCCUACGGGAGGCAGCAGUGAGGAAUAUUGCACAAUGGGCGGAAGCCUGAUGCAGCAACGCCGCGUGAGGGACGAAGGCCUUCGGGUCGUAAACCUCUUUUCUGGGGGACGAGUAAGGACGGUACCUCAGGAAUAAGUCUCGGCUAACUACGUGCCAGCAGCCGCGGUAAAACGUAGGAGGCGAGCGUUAUCCGGAUUUACUGGGCGUAAAGCGUACGCAGGUGGCUUCGUGAGUCGGACAUGAAAGCUCCCGGCUUAACUGGGAGAGGCUGUUCGAUACUGCGGGGCUUGAGGUUGGGAGAGGGACGCGGAAUUCCCGGUGUAGUGGUGGAAUGCGUAGAUAUCGGGAGGAACACCAGUGGCGCAAGCGGCGUCCUGGCCCACACCUGACGCUGAGGUGCGAAAGCGUGGGUAGCAAACAGGAUUAGAUACCCUGGUAGUCCACGCUGUAAACGAUGUCAACUGGGUGUCGGUAGUUUUACACUAUCGGUGCCGAAGCUAACGCG
Molecule: ribosomal RNA, 611 nt
Filed under: uncultured bacterium
Lineage: Bacteria
Description: bacterial SSU rRNA
Rfam family: Bacterial small subunit ribosomal RNA
Source: RNAcentral